UACAUGGGGUGCAAACGUUGCUCGGCAUUAUUGGGCGUAAAGCGCACGUAGGCGGUUUGUUAAGUCGGAUGCGAAAUCCCUCGGCUCAACUGAGGAAGUGCAUCCGAAACUGGCAAGCUUGAGUACGAAAGAGGGUCGCGGAAUUCCCGGUGUAGAGGUGAAAUUCGUAGAUAUCGGGAGGAACACCGGUGGCGAAGGCGGCGACCUGGGCCUGCACUGACGCUCAUGCACGAAAGCGUGGGGAGCAAACAGG
RNAcentral lists this ribosomal RNA (253 nucleotides) under uncultured bacterium. RNAcentral describes it as "partial 16S ribosomal RNA". It matches the Rfam family "Bacterial small subunit ribosomal RNA", at positions 524 to 776 of the family's 1533-position model. The record is from RNAcentral.